This 2788-nucleotide ribosomal RNA is filed under the name Salmonella enterica subsp. enterica serovar Infantis str. CVM N13139. Its description in RNAcentral is "bacterial LSU rRNA". It matches the Rfam family "Bacterial large subunit ribosomal RNA". RNAcentral also lists the same sequence under 2 other names. Lineage: Bacteria; Pseudomonadati; Pseudomonadota; Gammaproteobacteria; Enterobacterales; Enterobacteriaceae. The record is from RNAcentral.
GGGUUGUGAGGUUAAGCGACUAAGCGUACACGGUGGAUGCCCUGGCAGUCAGAGGCGAUGAAGGGCGUGCUAAUCUGCGAUAAGCGCCGGUAAGGUGAUAUGAACCGUUAUAACCGGCGAUACCCGAAUGGGGAAACCCAGUGUGACUCGUCACACUAUCAUUAACUGAAUCCAUAGGUUAAUGAGGCGAACCGGGGGAACUGAAACAUCUAAGUACCCCGAGGAAAAGAAAUCAACCGAGAUUCCCCCAGUAGCGGCGAGCGAACGGGGAGGAGCCCAGAGCCUGAAUCAGCAUGUGUGUUAGUGGAAGCGUCUGGAAAGGCGCGCGAUACAGGGUGACAGCCCCGUACACAAAAGCGCAUGUGCUGUGAGCUCGAUGAGUAGGGCGGGACACGUGGUAUCCUGUCUGAAUAUGGGGGGACCAUCCUCCAAGGCUAAAUACUCCUGACUGACCGAUAGUGAACCAGUACCGUGAGGGAAAGGCGAAAAGAACCCCGGCGAGGGGAGUGAAAAAGAACCUGAAACCGUGUACGUACAAGCAGUGGGAGCNNGUGACUGCGUACCUUUUGUAUAAUGGGUCAGCGACUUAUAUUCUGUAGCAAGGUUAACCGAAUAGGGGAGCCGGAGGGAAACCGAGUCUUAAUUGGGCGUUAAGUUGCAGGGUAUAGACCCGAAACCCGGUGAUCUAGCCAUGGGCAGGUUGAAGGUUGGGUAACACUAACUGGAGGACCGAACCGACUAAUGUUGAAAAAUUAGCGGAUGACCUGUGGCUGGGGGUGAAAGGCCAAUCAAACCGGGAGAUAGCUGGUUCUCCCCGAAAGCUAUUUAGGUAGCGCCUCGUGAAUUCAUCUCCGGGGGUAGAGCACUGUUUCGGCUAGGGGGCCAUCCCGGCUUACCAACCCGAUGCAAACUGCGAAUACCGGAGAAUGUUAUCACGGGAGACACACGGCGGGUGCUAACGUCCGUCGUGAAGAGGGAAACAACCCAGACCGCCAGCUAAGGUCCCAAAGUCAUGGUUAAGUGGGAAACGAUGUGGGAAGGCCCAGACAGCCAGGAUGUUGGCUUAGAAGCAGCCAUCAUUUAAAGAAAGCGUAAUAGCUCACUGGUCGAGUCGGCCUGCGCGGAAGAUGUAACGGGGCUAAACCAUGCACCGAAGCUGCGGCAGCGANNGUUGGGUAGGGGAGCGUUCUGUAAGCCUGCGAAGGUGGCCUGUGAGGGUUGCUGGAGGUAUCAGAAGUGCGAAUGCUGACAUAAGUAACGAUAAAGCGGGUGAAAAGCCCGCUCGCCGGAAGACCAAGGGUUCCUGUCCAACGUUAAUCGGGGCAGGGUGAGUCGACCCCUAAGGCGAGGCCGAAAGGCGUAGUCGAUGGGAAACGGGUUAAUAUUCCCGUACUUGGUGUUACUGCGAAGGGGGGACGGAGAAGGCUAUGUUGGCCGGGCGACGGUUGUCCCGGUUUAAGCGUGUAGGUGUGUGUUCCAGGUAAAUCCGGUUCACUUUAACACUGAGGCGUGAUGACGAGGCACUACGGUGCUGAAGCAACAAAUGCCCUGCUUCCAGGAAAAGCCUCUAAGCAUCAGGUAACAUCAAAUCGUACCCCAAACCGACACAGGUGGUCAGGUAGAGAAUACCAAGGCGCUUGAGAGAACUCGGGUGAAGGAACUAGGCAAAAUGGUGCCGUAACUUCGGGAGAAGGCACGCUGACACGUAGGUGAAGUGAUUUACUCAUGGAGCUGAAGUCAGUCGAAGAUACCAGCUGGCUGCAACUGUUUAUUAAAAACACAGCACUGUGCAAACACGAAAGUGGACGUAUACGGUGUGACGCCUGCCCGGUGCCGGAAGGUUAAUUGAUGGGGUCAGCGCAAGCGAAGCUCCUGAUCGAAGCCCCGGUAAACGGCGGCCGUAACUAUAACGGUCCUAAGGUAGCGAAAUUCCUUGUCGGGUAAGUUCCGACCUGCACGAAUGGCGUAAUGAUGGCCAGGCUGUCUCCACCCGAGACUCAGUGAAAUUGAACUCGCUGUGAAGAUGCAGUGUACCCGCGGCAAGACGGAAAGACCCCGUGAACCUUUACUAUAGCUUGACACUGAACAUUGAGCCUUGAUGUGUAGGAUAGGUGGGAGGCUUUGAAGCGUGGACGCCAGUCUGCGUGGAGCCGACCUUGAAAUACCACCCUUUAAUGUUUGAUGUUCUAACGUGGACCCGUAAUCCGGGUUGCGGACAGUGUCUGGUGGGUAGUUUGACUGGGGCGGUCUCCUCCUAAAGAGUAACGGAGGAGCACGAAGGUUGGCUAAUCCUGGUCGGACAUCAGGAGGUUAGUGCAAUGGCAUAAGCCAGCUUGACUGCGAGCGUGACGGCGCGAGCAGGUGCGAAAGCAGGUCAUAGUGAUCCGGUGGUUCUGAAUGGAAGGGCCAUCGCUCAACGGAUAAAAGGUACUCCGGGGAUAACAGGCUGAUACCGCCCAAGAGUUCAUAUCGACGGCGGUGUUUGGCACCUCGAUGUCGGCUCAUCACAUCCUGGGGCUGAAGUAGGUCCCAAGGGUAUGGCUGUUCGCCAUUUAAAGUGGUACGCGAGCUGGGUUUAGAACGUCGUGAGACAGUUCGGUCCCUAUCUGCCGUGGGCGCUGGAGAACUGAGGGGGGCUGCUCCUAGUACGAGAGGACCGGAGUGGACGCAUCACUGGUGUUCGGGUUGUCAUGCCAAUGGCACUGCCCGGUAGCUAAAUGCGGAAGAGAUAAGUGCUGAAAGCAUCUAAGCACGAAACUUGCCCCGAGAUGAGUUCUCCCUGAGACUU